GAGAUUAACCACGAACUGCUAAAUCACGCCACCGAGCCUAAGACACUCGGAAUUCUC
Molecule: transfer RNA, 57 nt
Filed under: Agama impalearis
Lineage: Eukaryota; Metazoa; Chordata; Lepidosauria; Squamata; Agamidae
Description: tRNA-Ser
Source: RNAcentral